Molecule: ribosomal RNA, 421 nt
Filed under: uncultured bacterium
Lineage: Bacteria
Description: bacterial SSU rRNA
Rfam family: Bacterial small subunit ribosomal RNA
Source: RNAcentral
UAAGGAAUAUUGGUCAAUGGGCGGAAGCCUGAACCAGCCAUGCCGCGUGCAGGAAGACGGCCCUACGGGUUGUAAACUGCUUUUGCAGGGGAAUAAACCCUGGUAUGUAUACCAGGCUGAAUGUACUCUGAGAAUAAGGAUCGGCUAACUCCGUGCCAGCAGCCGCGGUAAUACGGAGGAUCCAAGCGUUAUCCGGAUUUAUUGGGUUUAAAGGGUGCGUAGGCGGCCUAUUAAGUCAGGGGUGAAAGACGGUAGCUUAACUAUCGCAGUGCCUUUGAUACUGAUGGGCUUGAAUGGACUAGAGGUAGGCGGAAUGUGACAAGUAGCGGUGAAAUGCAUAGAUAUGUCACAGAACACCAAUUGCGAAGGCAGCUUACUAUGGUUUAAUUGACGCUGAGGCACGAAAGCGUGGGGAUCAAAC